Molecule: non-coding RNA, 26 nt
Filed under: Mus musculus (house mouse)
Lineage: Eukaryota; Metazoa; Chordata; Mammalia; Rodentia; Muridae
Source: RNAcentral
UGAUAAAAUGCCAUCUUCAAGGAAGU